AGGAGGUAUCGGGUUCUAGACCUCUUCUCGGGGGCAUAGGUAGACUGCACUGCAGACAUUGGGUAUAUUGGGGGGAAAUAAAUGGCUGUGUGGGGUUAGUGUUUAACAGAGGUGAAAAGGCCGAAGCUCACGAGUAGGGUCCAGCUGCAGCCCCGGAGAACAACACUCUGGCGUGACAACAACCCUGGCGCGACCGUAAAACCCCAAGAAGAAGAAAAAGAACAAGAACCCUGGCGCGACGGAAGUACUCUGGCGUGACGGAAGUGAUUUAUUUUUUUUACACACCGCUAAAUUGGAUACCAAAGAUGAACCAUGGAAGAAGAAACAAAGUGGAAGUGGUAGUCCACAAGCCGGUGUUCACGAGAGUUUCAACUGCUACUUUGCAAAGAAAAUGUUGCAGAAAAAUCUGCAGCCUCAUCACAGGGGGAUGAUGUCAAAACUGGUUUUAUGGAUUCGUUAGAAGAAAACGCUACAUGGCAGCAUUGAUUGAUUAAAGCCCAACAGGUGCGCAACCCCAGCGAGGCUGCUCUGUUGCCCCCGGCACGUAGAUGCGGCACGGCGGACUCAAAGUAACGAGACCUCAUUGAAUGAAGCUGAAGUUAUUAUUUUGCUUUUUUAAAUCGAAAAUUUGCUCUAUGUUUUUACCUGUUUGCGACGAAGGACUGAAUCUGUGAUUUAAUGUGAUAUAGUUAAAUUGAAGAAGAUUGUCAUGUGAGUUAUUGUAUACCACACAAUGGUGAUUUAGCCAAUGGCCCACUGAUGAAAGCCCUUCCAUUUGAAGUUUGAAGACCUGCUGAAUAAAGUGCUUGGGACCCAG
Long non-coding RNA from Gadus macrocephalus (Pacific cod), 817 nucleotides. RefSeq lists it as uncharacterized. The record is from RefSeq and is a predicted model, not a curated record. NCBI's taxonomy places the organism in Eukaryota, Metazoa, Chordata, Actinopteri, Gadiformes, Gadidae. The transcript is spliced from 2 exons.